UACGAAGGUGGCAAGCGUUAUCCGGAUUUAUUGGGCGUAAAGGGAACGCAGGCGGUCUUUUAAGUCUGAUGUGAAAGCCUUCGGCUUAACCGGAGUAGUGCAUUGGAAACUGGGAGACUUGAGUGCAGAAGAGGAGAGUGGAACUCCAUGUGUAGCGGUGAAAUGCGUAGAUAUAUGGAAGAACACCAGUGGCGAAAGCGGCUCUCUGGUCUGUAACUGACGCUGAGGUUCGAAAGCGUGGGUAGCAAACAGG
Molecule: ribosomal RNA, 253 nt
Filed under: uncultured bacterium
Lineage: Bacteria
Description: partial 16S ribosomal RNA
Rfam family: Bacterial small subunit ribosomal RNA
Source: RNAcentral